This is a non-coding RNA of Caretta caretta (loggerhead turtle), 616 nucleotides long. Lineage: Eukaryota; Metazoa; Chordata; Testudines; Cheloniidae. The record is from RefSeq and is a predicted model, not a curated record.
GGCUACCGCCUCCUGGGGGCAGGCGGCCCCAACUUCCCACUGCCUUUUAUACCAUUUCUGAACGACCCCAGAAACAGGCAUCAAUCAUACCGGGCACAGCUGUUCUCAACGUUCUCAAGCGACUGGGCGACUAUUAACGGAUGAGACUGAUGCUCAAGUGUACAUGGCCAUGGAAUUCAACAGCGGAGCAGCUACCGUGCCUGGGGAUUCUUCUGGGGGCCUACUGGAAGUUCGAGGGCUGCACCGAAUUUUGGAUUUUGGGCAAAACUCAGUGAGGACUCAUGGCUGAAUGUCACAACCUCAGAAAGGAGGGGAGAACUGGCCACCUCAUUGCAAGAAAGUCUACACGAUAAGUCUGCUUCUUGACUGGACGAAUAACUGGCUGGACUCCAGAUGCACUAGCUUGCUGUACAAAGGAUGGAUUCCAGGUUCCCACUUCUACCACCACAACAAUGAAAAAGCUUAACAUGCACUGUUCAGGAAGAACAAAAAAACCAAACCAGCCCUCUUUCCUGCCCCAACAAAGUCCAAAACACAGACAACUCCUCUUCCCCACCUUCCAGGCACAGGUGUCACAGCAGUUGCAGAUGUGACAAAUACUGGAUACCUGCCUGUU